Molecule: long non-coding RNA, 2881 nt
Organism: Triticum dicoccoides
Lineage: Eukaryota; Viridiplantae; Streptophyta; Magnoliopsida; Poales; Poaceae
Exons: 6
Source: RefSeq, a predicted model, not a curated record
UCUCGAACCCCAGUCAACCCCAUCCCUCGUGACCUCCUCUCUCUCGCGCGAACCCUUGCUCUGCACCCCUCCCUUGCCGCCCGCCGCCUCCGGUGGCCGAUCCUGGCAACCUCAGGCAGGAAUCCCGCCGUCCUCCUCUCACCCCCACCGCCGUCGAUCCUUCCCCGGCCACCACUCUGUACCGCACCUCUCCCUCUCUCCCAUGGCACCAGAUCGGGCCGACGAGGCCAGUCCGUGACCAGAUCCGCCACCACCAUAGCGGGCCUUCUGGGUCCGCAACGUUGUCGAGCUGGAUCCGCGCCUCGUCGCACGGCCUCAUCCCCUGCGCCACGGGCUUCUACUACGUCGCCCGCGCGCGGGGAUGCGCCUUCUGGCGCACAUCCAUCAGCCACAUCCUCUGCACACCCCGACCUCAUCCCCGCACCCCAGGAGGUCGAGGACCGCAAGGACUUGGAGAUCGGCGAGAUGGAGGGCAAGCGUCGCCUGCGUUAAUCGGCGAGAUGGAGAUCGGCUGCACCACGACGGCGACGGGCCGACGCUGGUGGACUUGGAGCGCAGGUGGCGGAUCAAGCUCGUGGCGGCCAAGGGCGUGCCAUACCUGCAAGAGGACUGUCAUUCUAAGGUCAUCCAUCGCGACAUCAAGGCGGCCAACAUCCUUCUCGAUGACAACUUUGAGCCCAAGUUGCCGACUUUGGGCUGGUCAAGAUCCAGCAUGGAGAUGACAACCAUGUUUCUACCCGGGUGAUGGGGACUUUUGGGUAAGCCUAGCAUUCCAAUUUCCUUGCCGUUACGUUUACCUGUUCCUGACCUGAAUAAAACGCACCCAAUGGCAUUGACUGGUUUGGCACGUACAUGGUGCCGGAGUACACCAACACCAGGAAAAUAACCGAUCGGUCCGACGUCUUCUCCUUCGGCCUCGUGCUUCUGGAGAUCAUCACCGACAAGAGACCGAUCCUGGCCGACGAGCCCAACAAGGACGACGAGACUCUGGUCUCUUGGCAGAGGACAAGAGCUUCAUGGCCAACCAAGGCGCAUGGUGCUCGCAAGCGAUGAAUGGUGGUUGUUUGACAUAGGCACGGACGAGGAGGACGGGCACGGACGAAGGAGGACAGAGCACCUCUCUUCUUCCAGGUCAGUGAGCAGCAUCAGGAGGAGGAGCUCAAGCACGACCACCAAGAGGCACCACCGCAGCAGCAGACUCGAAGGAGACCAUAUGCAAGGCACCUCCUCUUCGGUUGUGAGAGUGUCCAGGGGUCAUGGGUGCGGCUAAUGCCUAUGUCUGUGGCUGCACUUGACACUGCCCUCUCUUUAAGGGCACAUAUCAUUUUUUAUAACUCUGCUAUAUUUUCCCAAGUCUUUAUUAUCUUGCCUAGCCUUGUCUUGAUAUGUAUUGUUUGAUGCUAAUUACCCAAGUUAGUGCAUGAUGUUAAGGAUAACCUGAGAACACUUGCCUAAGUUUAUAAGAUAUGACAUGUCACAGUCCAAGCCUGCUGCUCUUUCAAUGCUUUUGCUGUUGUGCUUCUCUAGUUGUUUGAAUGCUUCUGCUUUUGUACCUGAUGAUAAGGACCUUUCUUUUCUCUCGUGGGUUAAAAUAAUGGUGUGUGUGGAAGGUUCUCUUGCUGUAUGUGAAUAGCAGUCUGAUGUUACUUGGCAAAUAUUUUUUAUAUGAUACGAGGGAAGAGCUACUAUCAUGUGCAUGGAAGGUUUUCAAGUGAGCACUUGUUUGUUUGUUUAGUACUUAUGUAGUAUGGGAAAUAUGUAUAGGUAUGUCCAUGUGAUUUUUAAGCAUGCUUACUGCCUACCUGAUACAGAGUUCUGUAACUGAUGUUCUUUAUUUGAUAGUCUAUAGCCUCUUAUAGUUGAAAGUUGAAUAGUUACAGUAUGUGUGCUACUAUCUCUUAUAGUUUCAGAAAAGUCAUUAAUUUAUCUGUCUUGUUCUAUUAAUCCUGAAGAUCAAACUCACAUGCAUAUGUUGCUUAACCUGACUGGCUUGAGUAUUGUUCUGAAUGGAUUAUACUACAGAUUCCCUUCACUGUUUUUCUUCUAGUUAUCUCAUAGGAUUACUCAUGAGGCACAUCUAUUCUCUCCAUUUUUUAGAACAAAAAUGUGAUUAAUUUGGCAUGCUUAUGAGGAAUGUUGAAUAUUUUUGUGCAUUAGCUUCUUCUGGGAUUGUUUUGGUCGAUUUGUACCCAUUGGUCCAUUAUGGUGCUGAUCCUCUCUCCAUUUUUUAGAACCAAAAUGUGAUUAAUUCAGCAUGCUUAUGAGGAAUGUUGAAUAUUUUUGUGCAUUAGCUUCUACUGGGAUUUUUUUGGUCGAUUUGUACCCAUUGGUCCAUUAUGGUGGUGAUCCUCUUUACUUUAUUUGCUGAAUAAGCUUGAUCUUGGACUGAUCAUGUAUAUUGGAACGUACAAGACUCAUGUGGAAUUAGUUAAGUUGAUAUCAAGUACAUUUGUUGCAUGCUCCAUUAGUGGUUUAUACUUGAAACCUGGCUUGUCAUUUUUAGUAAAUAUUACAUCAUCAAAGUUGUUUUAUGCAUGAUGUUGGUAACUGUAUAUUCUCCUAACAGUUUUAUUGUUGUAUGCAGGCUGAUUGGAGCCUAUUUUUUCCUUUAAAAUACUAUUUUUUGAUAUCAGGUGCUCAUUAAGCUGUCUAAGAACAAGCAGAUCAUCAUUUCACCAUUUUCGGCUGCCCAAGUUAUGUCAUCUCUCUGGCCUAUUCUAGUCAGCACUAUCUUCUUUGUUCUUGACUAUAAAAAUUGAUGCAUGUGCCUUAUUCUAAAGUGGAAAAUCAUUGGAAAAAUCACUGUUAGCUUGUAAUGUCUGUUAACUUGUACUAUGCUGGUACUUAUCGUUUGCAAAAUAUAUCUCACAUUUUGAUGUUA